This 466-nucleotide ribosomal RNA is filed under the name uncultured bacterium. Its description in RNAcentral is "partial 16S ribosomal RNA". It matches the Rfam family "Bacterial small subunit ribosomal RNA", at positions 28 to 507 of the family's 1533-position model. The record is from RNAcentral.
GACGAACGCUGGCGGCGUGCUUAACACAUGCAAGUCGAACGGAAAGGCCCUGCUUGCAGGGUACUCGAGUGGCGAACGGGUGAGUAACACGUGGGUGAUCUGCCCUGCACUUCGGGAUAAGCUUGGGAAACUGGGUCUAAUACCGGAUAGGAGCCAUCUUUAGUGUGGUGGUUGGAAAGUUUUUUCGGUGUAGGAUGAGCUCGCGGCCUAUCAGCUUGUUGGUGGGGUAAUGGCCUACCAAGGCGGCGACGGGUAGCCGGCCUGAGAGAGUGUACGGCCACAUUGGGACUGAGAUACGGCCCAGACUCCUACGGGAGGCAGCAGUGGGGAAUAUUGCACAAUGGGCGCAAGCCUGAUGCAGCGACGCCGCGUGGGGGAUGAAGGCCUUCGGGUUGUAAACUCCUUUCGCUAGGGACGAAGCUUUGUUGUGACGGUACCUAGAGAAGAAGCACCGGCUAACUACGUG